AGUCUGGUGCCAGCAGCCGCGGUAAUUCCAGCUCCAAUAGCGUAUAUUAAAGUUGUUGCAGUUAAAACGCUCGUAGUCGGAUUUCGGGGCAGGUUUGCCGGUCUGCCGAUGGGUAUGCACUGGUAGAACUGUCCUUCCUUCCGGAGACGGCGCCUACUCUUAACUGAGCGGGUGUCGGAGACGGAUCGUUUACUUUGAAAAAAUCAGAGUGUUUCAAGCAGGCAGCUCGCUUUUGCAUGGAUUAGCAUGGGAUAAUGAAAUAGGACUUUGGUGCUAUUUUGUUGGUUUCGAACACCGAAGUAAUGAUUAACAGGGACAGUCAGGGGCACUCGUAUUCCGCCGAGAGAGGUGAAAUUCUUAGACCAGCGGAAGACGAACCACUGCGAAAGCAUUUGCCAGGGAUGUUUUCACUGAUCAAGAACGAAAGUUAGGGGAUCGAAGACGAUCAGAUACCGUCGUAGUCUUAACCAUAAACCAUGCCGACUAGGGAUUGGAGGAUGUUCCUAUGUGACUCCUUCAGCACCUUUCGGGAAACUAAAGUCUUUGGGUUCCGGGGGGAGUAUGGUCGCAAGGCUGAAACUUAAAGGAAUUGACGGAAGGGCACCACCAGGAGUGGAGCCGGCGGCUUAAUUUGACUCAACACGGGGAAACUUACCAGGUCCAGACAUUGUGAGGAUUGACAGAUUGAGAGCUCUUUCUUGAUUCGAUGGGUGGUGGUGCAUGGCCGUUCUUA
This 733-nucleotide ribosomal RNA is filed under the name uncultured eukaryote. RNAcentral describes it as "SSU rRNA". It matches the Rfam family "Eukaryotic small subunit ribosomal RNA", at positions 558 to 1296 of the family's 1831-position model. The record is from RNAcentral.